AUUGAACGCUGGCAGCAGGCUUAACACAUGCAAGUCGAGCGGGGGAGGUUACUUCGGUAACUGACCUAGCGGCGGACGGGUGAGUAAUGUUUAGGAAGCUGCCUAGUAGUGGGGGACAACAUGCCGAAAGUAAUGCUAAUACCGCACACGCCCUACGGGGGCAAGCAGGGGAUCAUAGGACCUUGCGCUAAUUGAUGAGCCUAAGUCGGAUGAGCUAGUAGGUGGGGUAAAGGCCUACCAAGGCGACGAUCUGAAGCGGGUUUGAGAGGAUUAUCCGCCACACUGGGACUGAGACACGGCCCAGACUCCUACGGGAGGCAGCAGUGGGGAAUAUUGGACAAUGGGGGGAACCCUGAUCCAGGCAUGCCGGGUGUGUGAAGAAGGCCUUUUGGUUGUAAAGCACUUUAAGCGAGGAGGAGGCUCCUUUAGUUAAUACCUAAAGAGAGUGGACGUUACUCGCAGAAUAAGCACCGGCUAACUCUGUGCCAGCCGCCGCCGUAA
This 501-nucleotide ribosomal RNA is filed under the name uncultured bacterium. RNAcentral's name for it is "partial 16S ribosomal RNA". It matches the Rfam family "Bacterial small subunit ribosomal RNA", at positions 30 to 523 of the family's 1533-position model. The record is from RNAcentral.